GUGUCAGCCGCCGCGGUAAUACAGAGGGUGCAAGCGUUAAUCGGAAUUACUGGGCGUAAAGCGAGCGUAGGUGGCUUGAUAAGUCAGAUGUGAAAGCCCCGGGCUUAACCUGGGAACGGCAUCUGAUACUGUUAGGCUAGAGUAGGUGAGAGGAAGGUAGAAUUCCAGGUGUAGCGGUGAAAUGCGUAGAGAUCUGGAGGAAUACCGAUGGCGAAGGCAGCCUUCUGGCAUCAUACUGACACUGAGGUUCGAAAGCGUGGGUAGCAAACAGGAUUAGAUACCCUGGUAGUCCACGCCGUAAACGAUGUCUACUAGUCGUUGGGUCCCUUGAGGACUUAGUGACGCAGCUAACGCAAUAAGUAGACCGCCUGGGGAGUACGGCCGCAAGGUUAAA
Molecule: ribosomal RNA, 394 nt
Filed under: uncultured bacterium
Lineage: Bacteria
Description: bacterial SSU rRNA
Rfam family: Bacterial small subunit ribosomal RNA
Source: RNAcentral